This 81-nucleotide transfer RNA is filed under the name Thermovenabulum gondwanense. RNAcentral describes it as "Thermovenabulum sp. R270 tRNA". It matches the Rfam family "tRNA". From Rfam's summary of the family: Transfer RNA (tRNA) molecules are approximately 80 nucleotides in length. Their secondary structure includes four short double-helical elements and three loops (D, anti-codon, and T loops). The record is from Rfam by way of RNAcentral. Lineage: Bacteria; Bacillati; Bacillota; Clostridia; Thermosediminibacterales; Thermosediminibacteraceae.
GCGGGCGUGGCGGAACUGGCAGACGCGCUAGACUUAGGAUCUAGUGGUAACCCCGUGGAGGUUCAAAUCCUCUCGCCCGCA